RNAcentral lists this non-coding RNA (30 nucleotides) under Macaca fascicularis (crab-eating macaque). Lineage: Eukaryota; Metazoa; Chordata; Mammalia; Primates; Cercopithecidae. The record is from RNAcentral. RNAcentral also lists the same sequence under 1 other name.
UGGUGUACGAUGUCAAGGACUGCGGCAUGU